Molecule: transfer RNA, 57 nt
Filed under: Capra hircus (goat)
Lineage: Eukaryota; Metazoa; Chordata; Mammalia; Artiodactyla; Bovidae
Also listed under: 2 other names
Rfam family: tRNA
About the family: Transfer RNA (tRNA) molecules are approximately 80 nucleotides in length.
Source: Rfam by way of RNAcentral
UGGCUCAGAGGGUAAAGCAUCUGUCUGCAAUGCAGGAGACCCGGGUUCGAUCCCUGG